RNAcentral lists this ribosomal RNA (269 nucleotides) under uncultured prokaryote. RNAcentral's name for it is "partial 16S ribosomal RNA". It matches the Rfam family "Bacterial small subunit ribosomal RNA", at positions 524 to 792 of the family's 1533-position model. The record is from RNAcentral.
UACGGAGGAUCCGAGCGUUAUCCGGAUUUAUUGGGUUUAAAGGGUGCGCAGGCGGGAGAUUAAGUCGGCGGUGAAAUUUUGCAGCUCAACUGUAAAAGUGCCUUCGAAACUGGUUUCCUUGAGUGUAGAUGAAGUAGGCGGAAUUUGUGGUGUAGCGGUGAAAUGCAUAGAUAUCGCGAGGAACUCCGAUUGCGCAGGCAGCUUACUAAACUACUACUGACGCUCAGGCACGAAGGCGUGGGGAUCAAACAGGAUUAGAUACCCCCGUA